This is a long non-coding RNA of Sardina pilchardus (European sardine), 1200 nucleotides long. RefSeq lists it as uncharacterized. The record is from RefSeq and is a predicted model, not a curated record. The transcript has 3 exons. NCBI's taxonomy places the organism in Eukaryota, Metazoa, Chordata, Actinopteri, Clupeiformes, Clupeidae.
GAUCCGCUGAGCUCGGUAGCGAGAGUGCUAUGAAUAUUACCGACACACGUAAAAGAAUGAUCUGCAUAUGCGUUGGCGACUCUGGUCGUAGGUGUGACCCACUGUUUCACUGACUAAUCAGAAAACCAUCGUCAAAUAUUGCCUUUCAAACAAUUUCAAACCAUUUACUCGUCAGCCAGCGCUUCUGCUGCCCAAACUUCUAAAACUUAGGCAAUCAUUUUUCACUGCUAGCAAUCCUCGUGGGUCGUGGAGGGCUCGUCAGUCAGCUCUUCCCAUAUGGAAAAUAUAGAAAGAACUUAUAUGCCAGCAAUGUGUUUUAUAUACAAAACGUGUAUGGUUUACUCUUGAAAGUGGCCCCUUUCUCGUUUUCCUCAUACAACGUCAUAUAGCUGCUAGUCCUUACAGGUUACAAUGUUUUAUGUUUCAGGUUACACAGAUUUAGCAAGGAUCUUAUAAUGGUUUCACUGGCAUAUAAACCUGAUAUGAGUAAAUCAUAAACGUUUUGUAUAUAAAACACAUUGCUGGCAUAUACGUUUUUCUAUAUCUUUUCCGUAUGGGUUUUGCUCACAACAAUUCUCAUUUUGGUAGAUUGUGGUCGUCUUAAAUAUCCAUAUAAUGUCAUGUCUCAUGACCGGUCUCAUUGACAGUGGUCUUCUGUCACCACUGUAUCCCCAAAUUAUUGUUUCUAUCUUUUUGUUGCAUAGCUACAGCUCACUUCAUCAUCCUAGGUAUGCCACAGCUUCCCCCCCCACACACCUCUCCAUUUGAAACUCCAAAUAUAUGCCUAAAGUGUCCCCUCUUCUUUCUCCUUGUGCAGAUGUCCUGGCUCUCAACAAAGGCACCAGACAGGAUUGUUUUUUCUCUUGCAUAAGCACUUCCUGAUGUCCACUACACUCUUUUCUCAAUCUUCUCCAGUCUUUUGCAAACUGUGAUGUUCAGAUGUCCUAUAAGCCUGACUUCCUGAUGUCCACUACACUCCGUUCUCAACCUUCUCCGGUCUUCUGCAAACUGUGAAUGCCUCCUUGUGUUGGAUUCAUGAUGUUCACCAUACUGCACGGCCUACUUUUUUCUUCGCAAGCUAUGGAAAGAAACUCUGUUCAGCUCAUGAAACGGACUGUUCACAUUUUUUGACUUUUGUGGAGGAAGCAGGGUAUCCUGGUAAUUUUAUUUUGCAGCUACUAUGCUCUCGUAUAUAGGCCC